UCUAGCCUGCCCACUGAUUUAGUUUAAAGGGCCGCGGUAUAUUGACCGUGCGAAGGUAGCAUAAUCAUUAGUCUUUUAAUUGAAGGCUUGUAUGAAUGGUUGGACAAAAAGUAAGCUGUCUCAAUUAUAAUAAUUGAACUUAACUUUUAAGUGAAAAGGCUUAAAUAAAUUAAGGGGACGAUAAGACCCUAUAAAGCUUGACAAUAAUUUAAUUAUACUAUCAAUUGUUAGUGUAACUUGGUUUUARUUAAAAUUUGUUGCGUUGGGGCGACGAGAAUAUAAUAGGUAACUGUUCUUAAAUAUUUAAUAACAAAUAUAAUUGAAAAUUAGUGUGAUCCUCUAUUAGCGAUUAAAAGAUUAAGUUACUUUAGGGAUAACAGCGUAAUCUUCUUUGAGAGUCCAYAUCGACAAGAAGGUUUGCGACCUCGAUGUUGAAUUAAGGUAUCCUUAUGAUGCAGCAGUUAUAAAGGAA
Molecule: ribosomal RNA, 472 nt
Filed under: Penaeus merguiensis
Lineage: Eukaryota; Metazoa; Arthropoda; Malacostraca; Decapoda; Penaeidae
Description: partial 16S ribosomal RNA
Rfam family: Bacterial large subunit ribosomal RNA
Source: RNAcentral